UGAGGGAUAUUGCUCAAUGGGCGCAAGCCUGAAGCAGCGACGCCGCGUGGGUGAUGAAGGUCUUCGGAUCGUAAAACCCUUUUACAGGUGACGAGGAAGGACGGUAGCCUGUGAAGAAGUGUCGGCUAACUACGUGCCAGCAGCCGCGGUAAAACGUAGGACGCAAGCGUUAUCCGGAAUUACUGGGCGUAAAGCGCGUGUAGGUGGUUAGAUAAGUCACUGUUGAAAGCUCCUGGCUAAACUGGGAGAGGUGCGGUGAGACUGUCUGGCUAGAGUAUGGGAGAGGGAUGCAGAAUUCCGGGUGUAGUGGUGAAAUGCGUAGAGAUCCGGAGGAAUACCAGAGGCGAAGGCGGCAUCCUGGCCUAAAACUGACACUGAGACGCGAAAGCAUGGGGAGCGAACGGG
Molecule: ribosomal RNA, 405 nt
Filed under: uncultured bacterium
Lineage: Bacteria
Description: bacterial SSU rRNA
Rfam family: Bacterial small subunit ribosomal RNA
Source: RNAcentral